GAUGAACGCUGGCGGCGUGCUUAACACAUGCAAGUCGAACGGAAAGGCCUCAGCUUGCUGGGGUACUCGAGUGGCGAACGGGUGAGUAACACGUGGGUGAUCUGCCUGCACUUUGGGAUAAGCUUGGGAAACUGGGUCUAAUACCGAAUAUGACCACUUCUUGGAUGCUGUGGUGGAAAGCUUUUGUGGUGUGGGAUGGGCCCGCGGCCUAUCAGCUUGUUGGUGGGGUGAUGGCCCACCAAGGCGACGACGGGUAGCCGGCCUGAGAGGGUGUCCGGCCACACUGGGACUGAGAUACGGCCCAGACUCCUACGGGAGGCAGCAGUGGGGAAUAUUGCACAAUGGGCGCAAGCCUGAUGCAGCGACGCCGCGUGGGGGAUGACGGCCUUCGGGUUGUAAACCUCUUUCAGCACAGACGAAGCGAGAGUGACGGUAUGUGCAGAAGAAGCACCGGCCAACUACGUGCCAGCAGCCGCCGUAA
This 481-nucleotide ribosomal RNA is filed under the name uncultured bacterium. RNAcentral's name for it is "partial 16S ribosomal RNA". It matches the Rfam family "Bacterial small subunit ribosomal RNA", at positions 28 to 523 of the family's 1533-position model. The record is from RNAcentral.